GAUGAACGCUGGCGGCGUGCCUAAUACAUGCAAGUCGAGCGAACAGAUGAGGAGCUUGCUCCUCUGACGUUAGCGGCGGACGGGUGAGUAACACGUGGAUAACCUACCUAUAAGACUGGGAUAACUUCGGGAAACCGGAGCUAAUACCGGAUAAUAUAUUGAACCGCAUGGUUCAAUAGUGAAAGACGGUUUUGCUGUCACUUAUAGAUGGAUCCGCGCCGCAUUAGCUAGUUGGUAAGGUAACGGCUUACCAAGGCAACGAUGCGUAGCCGACCUGAGAGGGUGAUCGGCCACCCUGGAACUGAGACACGGUCCAGACUCCUACGGGAGGCAGCAGUAGGGAAUCUUCCGCAAAGGGCGAAAGCCUGACGGAGCAACGCCGCGUGAGUGAUGAAGGUCUUCGGAUCGUAAAACUCUGUUAUUAGGGAAGAACAAAUGUGUAAGUAACUAUGCACGUCUUGACGGUACCUAAUCAGAAAGCCACGGCUAACUACGUG
RNAcentral lists this ribosomal RNA (497 nucleotides) under uncultured bacterium. RNAcentral describes it as "partial 16S ribosomal RNA". It matches the Rfam family "Bacterial small subunit ribosomal RNA", at positions 28 to 507 of the family's 1533-position model. The record is from RNAcentral.